GCCUGGCUGGCUCAGUCUGUAGAGCAUGGGACUCUUGAUCUUGGGGUCAUGAGUUUGAGCCCCAUGUUAGGUG
Molecule: transfer RNA, 73 nt
Filed under: Ailuropoda melanoleuca (giant panda)
Lineage: Eukaryota; Metazoa; Chordata; Mammalia; Carnivora; Ursidae
Rfam family: tRNA
About the family: Transfer RNA (tRNA) molecules are approximately 80 nucleotides in length. Their secondary structure includes four short double-helical elements and three loops (D, anti-codon, and T loops).
Source: Rfam by way of RNAcentral